This 253-nucleotide ribosomal RNA is filed under the name uncultured bacterium. Its description in RNAcentral is "partial 16S ribosomal RNA". It matches the Rfam family "Bacterial small subunit ribosomal RNA", at positions 524 to 776 of the family's 1533-position model. The record is from RNAcentral.
UACGGAGGGUGCGAGCGUUAAUCGGAAUUACUGGGCGUAAAGCGCGCUUAGGCGGUUUGUUAAGUCGGAUGUGAAAUCCCCGGGCUCAACCUGGGAACUGCACCCGAUACUGGCCGACUUGAGUGCGAGAGAGGGAGGUAGAAUUCCACGUGUAGCGGUGAAAUGCGUAGAUAUGUGGAGGAAUACCGGUGGCGAAGGCGGCCUCCUGGCUCGACACUGACUUUGAGGUGCGAAAGCGUGGGGAGCAAACAGG